CCCCCAAUAGUCUAAUGGAUAGAAUAAACCCCUCCUAAGGGUUAGAUACAGGUUCGAUUCCUGUUUGGGGGGCCA
RNAcentral lists this transfer RNA (75 nucleotides) under Erysipelotrichaceae bacterium. RNAcentral's name for it is "tRNA-Arg". It matches the Rfam family "tRNA". From Rfam's summary of the family: Transfer RNA (tRNA) molecules are approximately 80 nucleotides in length. Their secondary structure includes four short double-helical elements and three loops (D, anti-codon, and T loops). The record is from RNAcentral. Lineage: Bacteria; Bacillati; Bacillota; Erysipelotrichia; Erysipelotrichales; Erysipelotrichaceae.